GGGGAUGACAUGGUUUCGACGCCGGUUACAAAACCUGAGGUGCAUGUCGAGAGUGAUACGUGAUCUCGUAAAUCCACAUGUAUCAAUUAUAUAGUCGCAAACGACGAAAACUACGCUCUAGCAGCUUAAUAACCUGCUAGUGUGCUGCCCCCAGGUUGCUUGUAGCCCGGGAUUCCGCAGUAUCAUAAAUUACGAGAUGCUAUCCGAUGCCCUGCCUGGGGAUAAGGAUCUAAGAUCAAACAGGCUCGCUGGUUACACCCUGUCCUUCGGGCGGUAAACAGUCAAAAAGUAGAAGUGACUAAACAUGUAGAUCCGAUGGCAGAGGACUGGCGGACGGGGGUUCGACUCCCCCCAUCUCCACCA
Marinomonas aquimarina is the source of this 363-nucleotide non-coding RNA. It matches the Rfam family "transfer-messenger RNA". Rfam says of the family: Bacterial tmRNA, also known as 10Sa RNA or SsrA, is named for its dual tRNA and mRNA-like properties. Its role is to liberate the mRNA from a stalled ribosome. The record is from Rfam. NCBI's taxonomy places the organism in Bacteria, Pseudomonadati, Pseudomonadota, Gammaproteobacteria, Oceanospirillales, Oceanospirillaceae.